AUGGCAUCUUCUUCUUCGUCGUCGCCCACGGCGAUCCAGAUACAUCCACUGACCAACGAGGACGACGGCAAGAUAACAGCCGCCGGCACAGCACCGCCAACACCUACCACGGGGCCUGCACCGGCCACGGUCAUGUCGAGCGUCUCGAACUUAGCGCAGCUCCUGCCGACGGGCACGGUGCUGGCUUACCAGGCGCUGUCCCCGUCCUUCACCAACCACGGCAAGUGCGAGACCUCCAACCAAUGGCUCACUGGGGCGCUGGUCGUCGUCCUCACCGUCUCGUGCCUCUUCUUUGCCUUCACCGACAGCGUUGUCGGUCGCCGCGAUGGAAAGCUAUACUAUGGCUUCGCAACACUACGCGGCUUCAACGUGUUCAACUUCUCCAGCGAGGAAGAAAGGAACGAGUGGAACGAUCUUGACCAGUUUCGGAAGCUCCGUCUCCGGCCGCUUGACUUUGUGCAUGCCUUCUUCGCGGCGGUGGUUUUCCUCACGGUGGCGUUUAGCGACGUCGGGCUGCAGAACUGCUUCUUCCCCGAGGCUGGCAGGAACACCGAGGAGCUGCUCAAGAAUCUGCCCAUGGGCAUGGCGUUUCUCUCCAGUUUUGUGUUCAUCAUCUUCCCCACCAAAAGGAAGGGCAUUGGGUUCACUGACAACGCUCCUCGUCAAAAGGAAAUUCAUACUCAAUCGGAUUUGACGACACCGCUCCUCGCAGGCGUAGAAGUUGCUUGA
RNAcentral lists this ribosomal RNA (729 nucleotides) under Triticum aestivum (bread wheat). RNAcentral describes it as "partial small subunit ribosomal RNA". Lineage: Eukaryota; Viridiplantae; Streptophyta; Magnoliopsida; Poales; Poaceae. The record is from RNAcentral.